AGAGCUUUUAACAUAAACAAGCCUGCAGCCUCCCCGAUUGUUCCUGCUGGCCACUCUGACUGUCUUGCCAGCUCACUGGUGUGCAUUCCCUGAUAGCAGAUCCCUGGCCUAUGAAGUAAUGUUGCCCUGAAGAUACAGGAUGCAAGGACAGGUCUGAAGGAAAUUCAGUCUUUCCAGCUGGACCUCUCUACUUGGUUUGCGCCUUAAGGCAGAGGACAGUCCAUUAUUUUAAACUGUGGAAAGCCAAUGUCAAAUAGCACAUAAAAAGAACAGGAGGAAAAUAUAUCUUAAAGAUAGAGAUCUGAAGUAUGAAGACUGACCCCUCAUCAGAAAAAGCCAGAAGACAAUGGAACAACAUCUUUAAACUUAUUAAAGAAAAAUAUAAACCUGUCAACCUGGGAAAGUACUGAUCUGCCGCAGAAAUGUGCACUUAAAAGGGAUGGUCUGAGUUUAUUUGCUGAAUGGAGAUACUUCGAACUCAGGUCUGGCCAAUAAAGAAUUUGACUAUAAUUGCAAGUGGUUGAGAUUAUCCAUUUGUUCUUCAGUUAACACUUGAUGCUGAUCCUUCACCCCAGCCAGUCCCCCCAUUCCCACCCAAAGCAGAGACUGAUGCACAAGAAGAGAAAUGACAAACAUAGGAACCUGACACUGCUGUUGGGAAAAUGGAUAUAAGUUCUACUUUUCUUGAAGGUUAUUAAAAUCAAGAUUGACAUAAACAAAGUCAGUGUGUUUGAAAGAAGAAAAAGAAAAAAGAGUAAUGGUAAAUUUGAGCUUAGAUCAAGAACUGUCAUUCUGGCUUCUAGCAGAAAACUUUCCCAAACAUGAAAGAGAAGAGGCAAAAGCAAGGAAGAGAAUGUUGUGUGUCUGUGAACAGACAUUCAAAGGUAAGUUUUCAGGGAAUAGGGAAAGUUCUGGCAAGUUUAAGCAGCAUACUUUCACUGUAUCUUGAAGGGCAUGGACUGCAGUACAUGUAUUAAUGUUGCAGGUCAGGUUCCCCAGGAAGUUGCCCAGGAAAUGGAGCUUAGUCCACAAAUAGUUUUGGGGGGAGUUGCUGUCAGGAUUAGCUUCUGUGCAGGAUUGUAAGGAAGCAUAGUAGGGCCAAGGGAGAAACUGAGCUGUGGUGCAGCAACAACACCUAGGGCAGGCCCAAGGGGAGCCCUAAGGUCAGAAUGGCCUUUCGAUACACCUUAAAUACACCUCAAAAAGGGACCAGUGAUACUAUGCAAUGUGGCUCUCUUUAGGGGACAGCAACUUCCAGAGAGGACUGGCAGCUGAGAGUUCUCAGCCAGCAACACAUUCAGCAGUUAAGGGGAUUAGUCCUUCCUUGUUGGAAGAGGAAUCCAGGCAGGGUAGUACAGCAUCCAUUAUUGUCCAUUUGUACAAGUCUUUGCUCCUCUUGCUUUACCUAAGCCCCAAAAGUCAUUCCUCCAGGACUAUGGUGAUUGUUUUUCCUAGGGUAGACUUACUAGAGGAAAAUUAAAAGAAAAAACUGUAGUUCUCACUGGUGCAUGUGGGAUUGAAGCUACAGUUAUGAUAAGUUAUUGUCUCCUUAUUCCACAAUCUAUCCUAGAUUCUUCUUCCACAGCUAGUAUCUCUGCUGGUCUUAGUGGCUUAGCUGGUGGAGCAACUCAAAGUCAUAUCUGAUUGCCUAAACCCUGGGUCAUUAAGCCCUUUUGAAAUUGUGGCUACUACUCUAUUUGUCCAUUUACCAUCCAAAUUAGGCAAAGAAGUACUACGAGAUAACCAUACACCAUAUUCUUCCCUGUCCGCAAUAUGUCAUAAAGCCUUCCUCCUGAUGAUCAGAUCAAUCGCCUCUAUCAAUAUGGUAUCCUCCCCUUGCCACUGGCUCCUUAGCAUAAGGAGUAUGAAGUACAUGGCAUAAAUCACACUUUGAAUUUCCAUGGUGGAUGUUUUCCAUCUUAGGAACAAAAACCACAAAACACACAUAGGUCAGAAUUUUCAGAAAAAGAAAGCAGAAAUUCCUUAUAGGUCAUUCCCAUUUUCACCGUUUGGUUCCUGGCACCAUGUAUUCUAACUAAUGGGGCACAACACUCUAGAGUAGUCAUUAAUUUGAGGAUAUACUGUGUUGUGGAAGAUGACUCCCUAUCUUAAUAUGGUUUUAUUUUUGAAGCACCUGUCUUAUCUGUGCCAUCUAUAAGCUAUUCCAUUGCUCUUCAAUGCUAGCUGCUUUCAGAUGCUGUGUUAUGUGACAAGACCUGUGGAUCUUCUGAUUGUAAGCCCACUGUUGCACUCCGUUGCCAUAAGUGAGUCUCUUUAGUCCAGAGUUUUUCCUACACAUUAUGGGAUGUUUAGCAGCAACUCUGGCCUCUAGCCACUAGAUGUCAGUAGCACCACCCAAACGUGCCAACCAACUGUGGCUCCUGAUGUUCCCAAAUGUCCCCUGGGAGGGCGGGGAAUUACUCCUGGUUAAAAACUACUACCUUAGUCUGUUGAAUGCUAUUGGGAAUUCAUGUGGAUGGAUGAAACUUUCUGUAACCCCAUAAAUAAUGAUGCUGUCUGAGACUCUUCCAACAGGAAAGGCAAAUCCAUACGUAGAAUAUGUGUAGAUUCAAAAAGUGUCAAUCCAAAAUGAAUGGAGGGUUCUUGUAGGAUGGAAUAAGUACAACAUAUUCAAUUUGCCACUGGGUGGUUGCUUGGCACCUGGAAGGGAUGGUGCUAUAUUUGGGGGUUAGCACUGGUUUCUCUUGCCAAGUCUCCACUCUUGACACCACAGUUAACUGUGUUUCUUUGUAUCUGAUGUUCAACACUGGGGGCUCUGAUGACAGAGAGAGUUGGCUGACAUGGACUGGCUGACAUUUUGUCUACUCUGAUUAUUUGUUUGUUUAAUGCCUAUUCCAGGGUAGAUGUUCUCUAGUGGACACAAACAUACAAUACAAAGAUCUUCACACUGUAUGCCCACUCCCAUUAGUCCAUCCACAAAACAUGACUGCAGACCUUCCUCUCCAUGAUCUUCCCAUCUUUUUCCUUCCAAGCUAUAUGUCACCUAUAUAUUUAUAUAAUUUUAAUCCUGGGCUAUUUUAUUUCCAUCAAAAGAGGAAUAUCGAUUGUACCACUUGGAGCUCUGCCUAUUGCAAAGAUUUUCCCCAGCCAAUGUCUUCCAAGGUCACCAUGGAGAGGGGCUGCAGUGAAGUCCCAAUCCAUUUUUAGCUGGACACUCUUACUGAGCUGUCAGUUCAUAAAUCAGCUUUGUUCUUUUCCUACUUUUUCAGCUGUUGUAAGGCAUCCUAUGCAGAAUAGAUAAAUGCUGGUUAAGAAGUCUUGCUUUAUACAACUGUGGUGGAGGAAAUGUAAGUCAAAGCCUCCAGACUCUACUGCUUGCCUGGGCCUUCUGGUGCUUCCUGUGUGUAAUCCUUAUAGAUCAUUUCAAUCUUAAGACCUGAUAGGUCUGAUGAAGUCUAUUUUGACCUCUUUGACUCUUAUUUUUUAAUCUCUAAAAUGAGAGGUUUAAUGAAAUAACAUCUUUAUAACAUCUUUUCCAAUUCUAGAAUUCAAUGAGAGGAAGCAUAAUUUUGUAUUUUGCAGGAUGAUAAACAUUGACAACUAUUGUACCUUUGCUUUAUGACCAUGGGUCCCUUACAUGAUUUUAUCUAGGAAUACCUCAAAUGCCCCAUUUUCACCAUCCUGACCAGUUAAAUCAUUAUUAUGAGAAAACCAGUGUUUCCGAAGCCAAUGAAAAUCCUGUGCCCAGAGCAGCAACAUUACUGUUCACUACUCAGUUUUCUGCUUCAACUUGCACAAUCAUUUACAUACCCAAUUUAUAGUAAAUGUUAUGUUGAGAAUUAUAGACUCUAUGAUAUCUCUGGGAGAAACCUUAAAGAGUACUACCUGAGUCUUCUGGCCACAUGUAACCUAAUCUGUCAGAGGGAAAACCCAGUUUCAUUGGCCCCACUUGGGACCUCUGUAGUCUCUAAUACUUUGAGUGCACUUAGGUCUGCAAAGAAAGGAGAUUCAAGAACGAAUUCGCUAAGCAAUCAGUGAGAGCUAUUGGCUACGUCAGAAAAAUACCUUGAGAUGGGGACUGUGAGGUAUGAGGAUUUAUUUAUUUGCAAUGGGAAAAUGAUUUUAAAAUUAAUUAAAUACACUUUGAGAAAACUAAGCAGAUUGUAUUAGUCAAGGUUCUUCAGAGAAACAGAACCAAUAGGAUGUGUGUGUGUGUGUGCGCGCGUGUGUGUAAGUGAUUUACAUAUAUAAAGAUUUAUUUUAAGGAACUGGCUCAUGCAAUUAUGGAAGCUGUCAAGUUCAAACUCUGCAGCAUGGGCUAGCAGUCUGGAAACCCAGAGAAAAGCCAAUGUUACAGUUCAAGUCUAAAGACUGUCAGGCUGGAAACUCAGGGAAAAACAGAUGUUGCUCUCAGGUUUAGAGUGUUACAAAAUUCUCUCAUGCUUGGGGAGCUCAGUCUUUUAUUCUUCAAGCCUUCCACUGAUUGAAUGAGGUCCAUGUACACUAUAGAAAGCAAUCUGCUCUACUCAAAGUCCACCAAUUUAAAUGUUAAUUUCAUCUAAAAGCACCCUCAAAGAAAUAUCCAGAAUAAUGUUCAACAACAUAUUUGGGCACCAUGGCCCAUCCAAGUUGACAUAUAAAAUUAACCAUCACACAGAUUAUAAAAUACAUUUGUUUCAGAAUUGUUUUCAGAACCAAAUUUUGUUCAAGCCACAACAUUAUAAUUGGAUACUACAGUAUGUAUCAUUUAUGAAAUUUUUGGAAAAUGGCUAACAUUUUGAAACCCUCAAGUGACAGCAAAUUAAUGGACUGCUUGAGUCCAGUGAUAGUCCCUGCAUUUUCUUAUUUUAAAAGAUAUAAUUUCCAUUGCUUGCUAAAAAUGUAGCCUUUUUGUUUUUUGGAUUUGACUUUGUGCAAUAGUUUGCUCACCAUUGAUUUAGUUGCCCCUCCCCUUCCCUUUUUUUAGGGAAGAAAACAAAAUCCUGAGAAAUAUAAGAUAUCGUAAAGAUUUUAAUGUCAAACUUUGAAAUACUCUUUUUCCUCUAAAAGCUUAUUCAAAUAAGUUGAAAAAUGAAUCAUAUUUAUUUAUUUAACCUAAAUAUUAUGAAAAACCUUUAAUUCCAUUGCUAAUACAAGAUAUGCUUUGUAUACAGAAAUUAUUCAAUGUCCAGUCCAAUGCCCACACAUUCAUUACUCAUGUUCACCUCUUUUUGGUAACAGCACUUUUUUCUCAGGUAUUUAGAAAAUGGUUAAACUUUAGGUCUUAUUUUACUUUCUUUGAUAUCUGAUUAAUUAAAGAAAAAACCUACAAUUGACAAGAUACACUUAUAGACACUCUUAAAUCUACUUAAAAUUUUGAAAUCUUAAGCUAAGCAGUAUCUACAUUUUGCUCACACAUAAUUGUCCUCAUGAUUGUGCUGCUAACAAAUAUUAGUUAUUGGAAAAUUAUUGUAAAAAUUACUUUAUGAAGCUUAUUUUCCACAAAAAUAUGCAGAUCUUUCCAUAAUUUUCACAGUGUUGGUUCUGUUUAAGUGAGCAUGAUUUAUUUAUCUAUCGUAUAUGUCAUUUAAUUUACAUAAAAAUUACUGAAGUAGUAUGUUUGUUGAAACUAUAUUCAAAUAACAGAGGAGCAUAUAAAGUAAAAAGAAGAAACAGCAAUUCCCUUUUCCCUAAAAUCAGGAAUUCAUACUGAUCUGCUUUUUCAAUGGCUGUAUAAUAUUCCAGAGUGUGAAUAUAACAUAAUCUGUCUGAUAAUUCCAUUAUUGAUUACCGAUAGUUAUUCAUGAUCCUAAAAGAUCUAUAGUGAACAUAUUUCAUGCAUGAUUGUUUGUUUCCACUGGAUUUCUACAAGAGCCUACAACUGAACCAAAGACUAUAAAAAAUUUUACAUUUUAUUAUUUAUUACCAAAUUUCUCUCAAAAAGGGCACCCCCGGUGGCACAGCAGUUUAGUGCCGCCUGCAGCCCAGGGCAUGAUCCUGGAGAUCCUGGAUCGAGUCCCACGUCAGGCUCUCUGCAUGGAGCCUGCUUCUCCCUCUGCGUGUG
Molecule: long non-coding RNA, 6004 nt
Organism: Canis lupus familiaris (dog)
Lineage: Eukaryota; Metazoa; Chordata; Mammalia; Carnivora; Canidae
Exons: 5
Source: RefSeq, a predicted model, not a curated record